Molecule: ribosomal RNA, 484 nt
Filed under: uncultured bacterium
Lineage: Bacteria
Description: partial 16S ribosomal RNA
Rfam family: Bacterial small subunit ribosomal RNA
Source: RNAcentral
AUUGAACGCUGGCGGCAGGCCUAACACAUGCAAGUCGAGCGGAUGAAGGGGGCUUGCUCCUGGAUUCAGCGGCGGACGGGUGAGUAAUGCCUAGGAAUCUGCCUUGUAGUGGGGGAUAACGUCCGGAAACGGGCGCUAAUACCGCAUACGUCCUGAGGUAGAAAGUGGGGGAUCUUCGGACCUCACGCUAUCAGCUGAGCCUAGGUCGGAUUAGCUAGUUGGUGGGGUAAAGGCCUACCAAGGCGACGAUCCGUAACUGGUCUGAGAGGAUGAUCAGUCACACUGGAACUGAGACACGGUCCAGACUCCUACGGGAGGCAGCAGUGGGGAAUUUUGGACAAUGGGCGAAAGCCUGAUCCAGCCAUGCCGCGUGUGUGAAGAAGGUCUUCGGAUUGUAAAGCACUUUAAGUUGGGAGGAAGGGCAGUAAGUUAAUACCUUGCUGUUUUGACGUUACCAACAGAAUAAGCACCGGCUAACUUCGUG